Long non-coding RNA from Odontomachus brunneus, 530 nucleotides. RefSeq lists it as uncharacterized. Lineage: Eukaryota; Metazoa; Arthropoda; Insecta; Hymenoptera; Formicidae. The record is from RefSeq and is a predicted model, not a curated record. The transcript has 3 exons.
CAGUGGUACUCAAUCGACCCAUUUCAAAAAAUUCCCUAGCUUAAUCAGAUUUUAGUAAAAGCUGUCUCAGCAGUAAUCGAAUUAGCUUCAUAGCGACAUGAGGUGAUACUUUGUCCUCAAGAGAAAUAAAAAGAUAAAAGUUCUGAAUCCAUUCAUCGCUGUUAAUUGCAUAAAAGAUGGUCGAUAAAUUAUUAAGCUUGAAUGCCAGUCAAUGUUCUGUGAGGAGUGAAGACUACUUAAUGGAAGAAAAUGUAGGUAAGUACAUUGUAAGUACGUUGACUACUUUAAUCAAUAAUUUUAUUCCAAAAGAGAUUAUACAUAGGAAACAAAUAUUAUACAUUACAAUAAAACUUAUAAUUAUCUGUGACAAAAUAAUGAAGAACUACAUUUACAAAAUAAUUCCUUAUUUUAAGAUGUGCUUCUCCGACAUGGUAUAUUGGCUAGAUAUCGUUGUCAUUGUUAUUAAAUAGAGCAUUCCAUAUAUAAAAUAUAUCCAUCCUUUUAUAUAUAUAUAUAUAUAUAUAUAUAUA